Molecule: long non-coding RNA, 187 nt
Organism: Neopelma chrysocephalum (saffron-crested tyrant-manakin)
Lineage: Eukaryota; Metazoa; Chordata; Aves; Passeriformes; Pipridae
Exons: 3
Source: RefSeq, a predicted model, not a curated record
GCCUGGAGCACCCCCUCAGCCGGCACUGGGAGAUGCCACCGGACACCGUCCGCAGCAAGAUCCUGGUGGGGGUCGGGGGCUUCGUCUUGGGCUUGGUCUUCCUGGCGCUGGGGCUCGGCUUCUACCUGCGGGAGAAGAGCUCCUGAGCCACCGGCGGCCGCAGCCCCUCCCCGUGGCCUCGGGCCCA